GUGAUGCCCAGCUUGCUGGGCGGAUCAGUGGCGAACGGGUGAGUAACACGUGAGUAACCUGCCCCAGACUCCGGGAUAAGCCUUGGAAACGAGGUCUAAUACUGGAUACGAGACGCCCCUGCAUGGGGAGUGUCUGGAAAGAUUUAUCGGUCUGGGAUGGACUCGCGGCCUAUCAGCUUGUUGGUGGGGUAAUGGCCUACCAAGGCGACGACGGGUAGCCGGCCUGAGAGGGCGACCGGCCACACUGGGACUGAGACACGGCCCAGACUCCUACGGGAGGCAGCAGUGGGGAAUAUUGCACAAUGGGCGAAAGCCUGAUGCAGCGACGCCGCGUGAGGGAUGAAGGCCUUCGGGUUGUAAACCUCUUUCAGCAGGGAAGAAGCGCAAGUGACGGUACCUGCAGAAGAAGCGCCGGCUAACUACGUGCCAGCAGCCGCGGUAAUACGUAGGGCGCAAGCGUUGUCCGGAAUUAUUGGGCGUAAAGAGCUCGUAGGCGGUUUGUCGCGUCUGGUGUGAAAACUCAAGGCUCAACCUUGAGCUUGCAUCGGGUACGGGCAGACUAGAGUGCGGUAGGGGUGACUGGAAUUCCUGGUGUAGCGGUGGAAUGCGCAGAUAUCAGGAGGAACACCGAUGGCGAAGGCAGGUCACUGGGCCGCAACUGACGCUGAGGAGCGAAAGCAUGGGGAGCGAACAGGAUUAGAUACCCUGGUAGUCCAUGCCGUAAACGUUGGGCACUAGGUGUGGGGCUCAUUCCACGAGUUCCGUGCCGCAGCAAACGCAUUAAGUGCCCCGCCUGGGGAGUACGGCCGCAAGGCUAAAACUCAAAGGAAUUGACGGGGGCCCGCACAAGCGGCGGAGCAUGCGGAUUAAUUCGAUGCAACGCGAAGAACCUUACCAAGGCUUGACAUACACCGGAAACUUCCAGAGAUGGUUGCCCCGCAAGGUCGGUGUACAGGUGGUGCAUGGUUGUCGUCAGCUCG
Molecule: ribosomal RNA, 980 nt
Filed under: Oerskovia sp. CB 286340
Lineage: Bacteria; Bacillati; Actinomycetota; Actinomycetes; Micrococcales; Cellulomonadaceae
Description: bacterial SSU rRNA
Rfam family: Bacterial small subunit ribosomal RNA
Source: RNAcentral